GACGACCUCAGUUCGGAUUGAAGGGCUGAAAUUCGCCUUCAUGAAGUCGGAAUUGCUAGUAAUGGCAGGUCAGCAUACUGCCGUGAAUACGUUCCCGGGCCUUGUACACACCGCCCGUCACACCAUGGGAGUCGGUAACACCCGAAGUCUGUAGCCUGACGCAAGAGGGCGCAGCCGAAGGUGGGAUUGAUGACUGGGGUGAAGUCGUAACAAGGUAAC
This 219-nucleotide ribosomal RNA is filed under the name uncultured bacterium. RNAcentral describes it as "partial 16S ribosomal RNA". It matches the Rfam family "Bacterial small subunit ribosomal RNA", at positions 1281 to 1500 of the family's 1533-position model. The record is from RNAcentral.